RNAcentral lists this ribosomal RNA (1390 nucleotides) under Lactiplantibacillus plantarum. Its description in RNAcentral is "bacterial SSU rRNA". It matches the Rfam family "Bacterial small subunit ribosomal RNA", at positions 87 to 1463 of the family's 1533-position model. Lineage: Bacteria; Bacillati; Bacillota; Bacilli; Lactobacillales; Lactobacillaceae. The record is from RNAcentral.
UUAAGUGAGUGGCGAACUGGUGAGUAACACGUGGGAAACCUGCCCAGAAGCGGGGGAUAACACCUGGAAACAGAUGCUAAUACCGCAUAACAACUUGGACCGCAUGGUCCGAGUUUGAAAGAUGGCUUCGGCUAUCACUUUUGGAUGGUCCCGCGGCGUAUUAGCUAGAUGGUGGGGUAACGGCUCACCAUGGCAAUGAUACGUAGCCGACCUGAGAGGGUAAUCGGCCACAUUGGGACUGAGACACGGCCCAAACUCCUACGGGAGGCAGCAGUAGGGAAUCUUCCACAAUGGACGAAAGUCUGAUGGAGCAACGCCGCGUGAGUGAAGAAGGGUUUCGGCUCGUAAAACUCUGUUGUUAAAGAAGAACAUAUCUGAGAGUAACUGUUCAGGUAUUGACGGUAUUUAACCAGAAAGCCACGGCUAACUACGUGCCAGCAGCCGCGGUAAUACGUAGGUGGCAAGCGUUGUCCGGAUUUAUUGGGCGUAAAGCGAGCGCAGGCGGUUUUUUAAAUCUGAUGUGAAAGCCUUCGGCUCAACCGAAGAAGUGCAUCGGAAACUGGGAAACUUGAGUGCAGAAGAGGACAAUGGAACUCCAUGUGUAGCGGUGAAAUGCGUAGAUAUAUGGAAGAACACCAGUGGCGAAGGCGGCUGUCUGGUCUGUAACUGACGCUGAGGCUCGAAAGUAUGGGUAGCAAACAGGAUUAGAUACCCUGGUAGUCCAUACCGUAAACGAUGAAUGCUAAGUGUUGGAGGGUUUCCGCCCUUCAGUGCUGCAGCUAACGCAUUAAGCAUUCCGCCUGGGGAGUACGGCCGCAAGGCUGAAACUCAAAGGAAUUGACGGGGGCCCGCACAAGCGGUGGAGCAUGUGGUUUAAUUCGAAGCUACGCGAAGAACCUUACCAGGUCUUGACAUACUAUGCAAAUCUAAGAGAUUAGACGUUCCCUUCGGGGACAUGGAUACAGGUGGUGCAUGGUUGUCGUCAGCUCGUGUCGUGAGAUGUUGGGUUAAGUCCCGCAACGAGCGCAACCCUUAUUAUCAGUUGCCAGCAUUAAGUUGGGCACUCUGGUGAGACUGCCGGUGACAAACCGGAGGAAGGUGGGGAUGACGUCAAAUCAUCAUGCCCCUUAUGACCUGGGCUACACACGUGCUACAAUGGAUGGUACAACGAGUUGCGAACUCGCGAGAGUAAGCUAAUCUCUUAAAGCCAUUCUCAGUUCGGAUUGUAGGCUGCAACUCGCCUACAUGAAGUCGGAAUCGCUAGUAAUCGCGGAUCAGCAUGCCGCGGUGAAUACGUUCCCGGGCCUUGUACACACCGCCCGUCACACCAUGAGAGUUUGUAACACCCAAAGUCGGUGGGGUAACCUUUUAGGAACCAGCCGCCUAAGGU